Molecule: long non-coding RNA, 290 nt
Filed under: Ornithorhynchus anatinus (platypus)
Lineage: Eukaryota; Metazoa; Chordata; Mammalia; Monotremata; Ornithorhynchidae
Description: lncRNA (ENSOANG00000039651.1)
Source: RNAcentral
CCUGAGGAAUGCUCAGCAAUUGGCAUGUGGGAUUUCUAGAAAGAUGCAUCCUCCAGACUCCAAGGUAAAACAUCCCGAUAGGCAUCCAAACAAUGUGGGGAAGAGAUGGGUGUUUCAGCCAAGGAUGAAACCCAGCAAUUCAAGUUGUGCAUUUUUUAUCGACUGCUGAAUAUGAAAAAGCCAUAGCCUCGUCUACUUCUCCACCGGAUUCUCCGACUCUCCGUCACCAAGCGUGCUCCAUCCGAAUCGGAAUGCCAGAGUACGAAUUUUCCCUUCGAAAUUGAUUUCCC